UAGAAAAUUGGGCUAAUGCAACUUUUUAGAAGCAACCCUUCUCAAAUGAGUUGCAUUUACCUCUAAUGCAACUUCAUUGAAUACAAAAGUUGCAUUAGGAGAUCUAAUGCAACCUUUUUAUUAAAAAGUUGCAAUUUUUAGUAAAAUUUGCAACUUUUAUUAGAAAGGUUGCAUUGAGAAUAAAUGGUCUUACUUAGAAAGGUUACAAUUUUUAGUAAAAUUUAUAACUUUUAUUAGAAAGGUUGCAUUGAGAAUAAAUGGUCCUACAUUUUCUAUAUUUAUUUAGAUGGUAUACAAGUCUUAAUAUGUAAGGCCAGUUCCAAAAUCACAUUUCCAUUUACUCAAAUAUAAUUCAAAUAAAUUAUUUCAAUCAGAUAUUUUUUUUUAUAUAAGUUUUGUCACAAAAAAUGUACACAUUGGUAACUUUAUACUAUUGUUUACCUAUUUGACACGGUGUCAAUCAUGAUAGAUUUGGGUUUUAAUUGUAUUAUUUAUUGUUUCUUUUAAUAUUCCCCCAUGAAUCCACGAUUCAACCCAUUUUCUCCACUAAAUGUGAAUUGAUUCCCAAAAACACACAUACCCCGCCUAAUUUCUCCCGCGUCCUCACAAUUCCAAUUCCAAACCCAAAACCUAGUCAAACGCUCAAACCCGUCUCUCUCCCUCUCUGUUUUAAGUGAAACAACUUGUACCAACUAUUGCGAAUCAGCCUAACACCACCAGAUCACACAACCAUAUACAACCAUUCGGCUCGUUGACCAACUGAUAAACUACUAUAGCUUAUGCCAUGUCUGACUCAUCGACUUGUGUAUCACUGCUGACUUCCGAUCUACUCUUUGAGAUUAUGAUUCAGGCGCGUCUACUUUAAUCUAAGGGGAUUGCAUGCUUUUAGGACAAGGUAUUAUAUCUUUAUGACAGAGUAAGUUUUGUAUAGCCUUCUUUUUUCGCUUGGUAGUAAGGCACAUCUGGUGAAUCAUUUGCUAGGGUGAGUUUAAUAUGUAGAUCAUCUCCUCAUUGCAAGGUAUAGUCGUUCUUUCUAACAACCAACAUUAUGUUUUCUAGCAGGUAUACUUGUUCUAUCCUACAAUGAGUUGGAAAGAAAGCAACAAAUUUGUUGUUUGUGAAGUGUUCUCUUAUAAACCAAGGGCAUGCAAUUCGCAGAGUGAAAGUUAGGCUUCAAUUAGCAGUUGCAACAAAGGAUGUUAUCUACAACCUCACUUUUGUCUCCUAAAAUCUUUCCGUUACAUGUUUUUGCUUUGCUAUCCAUUGUAUGUCGAAGCUUAGAACAUAUUGCAAAUUAACUAGGCAUUUUGGUCAUUCCUCCUUACACAGGAACAAAUGAUCAACUACAAACCUCUAGAAGAUGUAAGUGCUUUGGUUAAUCCUUUUAUGAGUGUAAUGAACAAGGAGCAUGGCGACUACCUUCUACUUUAUGGCAAAGGUAUUAUUAAAAAAAGGAUGGUGGUGAGGAAACAUACAUGAUUCUGGGUGUGCUUAUGGAAUUAUUCAAAGCGAGCCUUGAAGUUAAAAAAACAUAGGUUCUUGAAUUGCGAAAAGAAAUUGAGGAGAACCAUUAAAGGAAAAAAAAAAUGAGCUAGAAGCAAUGCAAAAGAGAUUUUAACAUACAACGAACAACUUAGAAGCUACGAUGUGAAGUAUUAUUUGGAAAAGCUACCUAUUCGAGAACUUCCGGAUCUUUGAGAUGAGUAGAAACUUUAUGUUACUUUUAUCAUUGUAAAUGACAACUUCAUUUUGGUUACAUUGUUAUUUUGAGUUUGGACAUGUGUUAAAUUGCGAUAUAAUAGAUAUGUUAUUAGUUUGUUGGUAAAAUUGAGAUAA
Molecule: long non-coding RNA, 1836 nt
Organism: Helianthus annuus (common sunflower)
Lineage: Eukaryota; Viridiplantae; Streptophyta; Magnoliopsida; Asterales; Asteraceae
Exons: 5
Source: RefSeq, a predicted model, not a curated record